RNAcentral lists this ribosomal RNA (193 nucleotides) under Treponema sp. RNAcentral's name for it is "partial 23S ribosomal RNA". It matches the Rfam family "Bacterial large subunit ribosomal RNA", at positions 2738 to 2925 of the family's 2925-position model. Lineage: Bacteria; Pseudomonadati; Spirochaetota; Spirochaetia; Treponematales; Treponemataceae. The record is from RNAcentral.
GUGCCGGGUAGCUACGUUCGGAAGGGAUAACCGCUGAAGGCAUCUAAGCGGGAAGCCCGCCUCAAGAUAAACCAUCCCUGGGGGUAUAACCCCCCUAAAGGUACCAGGAAGACUACCUGGUUGAUAGGUCGGAGGUCUAAGUAUGGUAACAUAUUCAGCCGACCGAUACUAAUCUGCCGUGAGGCUUGACCAU